Molecule: ribosomal RNA, 253 nt
Filed under: uncultured bacterium
Lineage: Bacteria
Description: partial 16S ribosomal RNA
Rfam family: Bacterial small subunit ribosomal RNA
Source: RNAcentral
UACAGAGGGUGCAAGCGUUGUUCGGAAUUAUUGGGCGUAAAGGGCGCGUAGGCGGUGCCACAAGUCACCUGUGAAAUCUCCGGGCUUAACCCGGAGCCUGCAGGCGAUACUGUGGUGCUGGAGUGUGGGAGAGGUGCGUGGAAUUCCCGGUGUAGCGGUGGAAUGCGCAGAUAUCAGGAGGAACACCUAUAGCGAAGGCAGCUCGCUGGGACGACACUGACGCUGAGACGCGAAAGCGUGGGGAGCAAACAGG